GAGGGUGUGGCUCAAGUGGUAGAGCACAUGCUUAGCAUGCACGAGGUCCUGGGUUCAAUCCCCAGUACCUCCU
Molecule: transfer RNA, 73 nt
Filed under: Camelus bactrianus (Bactrian camel)
Lineage: Eukaryota; Metazoa; Chordata; Mammalia; Artiodactyla; Camelidae
Also listed under: 3 other names
Rfam family: tRNA
About the family: Transfer RNA (tRNA) molecules are approximately 80 nucleotides in length. Their secondary structure includes four short double-helical elements and three loops (D, anti-codon, and T loops). Further hydrogen bonds mediate the characteristic L-shaped molecular structure. tRNAs have two regions of fundamental functional importance: the anti-codon, which is responsible for specific mRNA codon recognition, and the 3' end, to which the tRNAs corresponding amino acid is attached (by aminoacyl-tRNA synthetases). tRNAs cope with the degeneracy of the genetic code in two manners: having more than one tRNA (with a specific anti-codon) for a particular amino acid; and 'wobble' base-pairing, i.e. permitting non-standard base-pairing at the 3rd anti-codon position.
Source: Rfam by way of RNAcentral